CUCAAGUCAAAGUGCCCUGGAUUGCUGCAGCCUCCUAUGAGCUGGGUGGUUAAAUCCUGCAGUGGGGUUCCUGGGGACAAAGGUGGAGAAAUCUUUUCUGAAAGGGACAUGCCAUGGGUCUCUCAGGCAAAAGAGAGGACAAACAGGGCGGUCUGGAAGGAUUCUAACGAUGAAGCCUUCAGGAUCUUCUCCCGUGGAAAGACUGACCCACUGACCUGCUGCUCUGACAGGGUCUCUGUAUGUUGCCCAGGCUGACUUUGGAGUGCCAGGCUCCAGGGAAGCUCUCGCUGAUGCCUCUUCCAGGAGCACCACCACACCAGGCUUCAUUUGCAUGUUCAGUGAAAUGAAGUUUCCAGAAAGCAACUGCAAGUGUUGUUCCCUAGAGCGGGUGAGAGCAGCAGCUUUGGCGAGGGAUGGGUAGUCACGUGGCAGAGAAGGACAGAGUGCCUCUGGAUGCUGAUGACCACAGACUGCAAAGUUUGUGGUUUUCUUCUCAGCGCUGCCUCUUGGCUGAUAGUCUGGAUGCCCGUCUUCUCAGGCGUUAAGGCUCAUCUUUGGUGGUUGUCGGAAUCCCACUCUCUUCUCUUACCUACCGUGGUCCCCACAGGAGCAGCUGUACCCCUUCCACUCUCCGGAGAGAGUUGGCGGAGUUAUCUGCUCGAAAGUGAAGGCUCUCUCCACCCCAGGCGCACCUCUCCAUCCUCAGUUCCUCCCAGGGCUCCCGUGACCACAGCUCUUUCUUUAGCUAACUUCCUCUCCGCGGCAGCUUUUCUCUCCCUAGGAAUUUGGCUUGCGGUUUUGAGCGCCUGACAGGAAGCCAUCCGGAUGCGAUCACAAGGCACGAAGAGCUGCCCUCCCUCUUGGACCCCGGUGUGGCACACAAGAGCAAGCCUGAGCUUUCGGUCCCCCACUUUGACUGAACUCUUUCUAUCAGUCACGUUGCCUGUGAGAGAAGCCAAGAGUUUCUUGUUUCUUGGUGGCUUCAAGUCUAGAACUCCCUUCGAGGCUGUCUGCAUCUCCCGCGGUCCCUCCCAUGAUGCUGUUCCGCUCUCCUAAAGGGAUGUUCCGGCUCUGACAUAUUGAAAGCUGUCCCAGCUCUCAACUCCAGCUAAUGUUCUGAGACUAGCUAGUUAGAAAUUAUUGAACUAAAUUAUUUUGUGUGUGUGUGUUAACAUCCAUCUUGAAGUCUCACAUCACUAAAUCUCCACUGAGUUUAUCUUUCAAAAACUAUUUGUGGAAUAGAUUACUUUUUAAUCAGAAAACCUGUCUAAUGCCCGUGUGAAAAUGUGGUUAAUUUCUCUGGAACCUCUGGAUCAAAUGUUGCCUCUUAAUUUCUAAUUGCUGAUCUUCUGGGUGUGUUUUCUGGAGCAAGUCAGUAGCAAAGAAAGCAAGGGGAAGAGAAAUUAUUUCAUGGCUUUAUUUUCUGUACAGAAUUUAUAAAAACUUUAAGAAACUUUUACUAUAAGUUUUAUGUAUUCUCUGAAGAUAUACUACUACGUGACAAAAUUCAGAAUACAUGGUUAAAACUACAAUUAGUCAGACAGGUCAUAAAAAGAAAUCAGAAAACCUGUCGGAUGAGUAGUAAUCUUAUGUGAAAGAAAAUUUAAUUUUAAUACUGGGAAGAGGCCUCGCUGCAUGAACAUGAAGAGCUGAGGUCAGACUCCCAGUACUUGUAAGAAGCUGGGCAUUUGUGCAUGCCUUGGGAGCCAAGUCAGACAGAUCCCUGGAGUCUAACAGGCGGACAGUUUAGCCAAACAGUGAGCUCCAGGCUCACUGAGAGACCCUAUUUCAAAAAAUAAAAUAAAUAAGAUGGGGAGUGUGGGGGGCCAGCCCCCACAUUUAUUUACCCCAGGGACUCUUGAGGAAUGAGGGAUAAGAGACUUAGGCAGAAAUAAAGAGGGGAGAGAACCAGGUAGAAACACAGGAUACCCUCGGGUGAGUCUGGGUCCUUACCCACCAGCCCAGAACUUUAGUCCAAAGGGCUAUUUAUAACAAUGCCAAGGGGUGGAGCAAAAGAUCUCCCCCUUGCUACUUACAGUCAAGUGUAGACCAUCUCAGACACCUGGUACCCAGGCCCGAGGUCCAAUCAACCUCUUAUGCAGUCCUGCUGGGUACAGCCACUAGGAAACCCAGUGGGCUCCAACAGGGGAGUGGUUGGUUUUUGUUUUUGUUGUUUUGUUUUAAUGUGGCACAAACCUAGACAUAUCUGGAAAGAGGGAAUCUUAACUGAGAAAAUGCCUCCAUAUGACUGCCCUGUAGGAAAGUCUGUGGGGUAUUUCCUUAGUCAGUGGUUGGUGUGUGAGGGCCCAGCCCAUUCUGGAUGGUGCCACUCCUGGGCAGGUAGUUGUGGGCUGUAUAAGAAAGCAAAUGGAGCAAAACAUGAGGUGUGAGCCAGUAAACUUCCUGCUUCUGGGCUCCCAACUUGAGUUCCUGCCCUGACUUUGCUAUAUGAUGUGUAAGCUGUAAGAUGAUAAACUCUUCACAAAGUUGCCUUUGGUCAUCCUGUUUAUCACAGUAGACACCCUAAGAAAGACCAGAGGCAAUAGAGGAACAUACCCAAAGUAGAUCCCUGGACAGGCAAACAGACAGAUAGACACACAUCCACAUGCACAUACACGCGCACACACACACACACUCAGAAACAUAUCCAAAGUCGAUCCCUGGACAGACAGACAGACAGAUACACACACACACACACACACACACACACACACACACACACACACACA
Molecule: long non-coding RNA, 2729 nt
Organism: Peromyscus californicus insignis
Lineage: Eukaryota; Metazoa; Chordata; Mammalia; Rodentia; Cricetidae
Exons: 3
Source: RefSeq, a predicted model, not a curated record